AGCAAAAUGAGGAAGUCAUACCAUCUGAAAAUGUACUGUUGAUAAUUCUGGGAUGGUCUUCAAAGUUCUCUGAUUGCU
This 78-nucleotide small nucleolar RNA is filed under the name Setaria italica (foxtail millet). RNAcentral's name for it is "Small nucleolar RNA R160". It matches the Rfam family "Small nucleolar RNA R160". From Rfam's summary of the family: snoR160 is a C/D box small nucleolar RNA, which acts as a methylation guide for 25S ribosomal RNA in plants. snoR160 has been alternatively named snoZ270 in rice. Lineage: Eukaryota; Viridiplantae; Streptophyta; Magnoliopsida; Poales; Poaceae. RNAcentral also lists the same sequence under 1 other name. The record is from Rfam by way of RNAcentral.